UCAAGUUCUGAUCCAGAGUACCACGAGACACGUGAAACCUUGUGGGAAGCAGGGAGGACCACCUCCCAAGGCUAAAUACUACCUGAUGACCGAUAGUGAAGCAGUACCGGGAGGGAAAGGUGAAAAGAACCCCGGGAGGGGAGUGAAAUAGAACCUGAAACCAUGUGCCUACAACCGAUCAAAGCACCUUAUGUGUGUGAUGAUGUGCUUUUUGUAGAACGAGCCAACGAGUUACGG
This 237-nucleotide ribosomal RNA is filed under the name Clostridium botulinum. RNAcentral describes it as "partial 23S ribosomal RNA". It matches the Rfam family "Bacterial large subunit ribosomal RNA", at positions 395 to 633 of the family's 2925-position model. Lineage: Bacteria; Bacillati; Bacillota; Clostridia; Eubacteriales; Clostridiaceae. The record is from RNAcentral.